GAUGAACGCUGGCGGCGUGCCUAAUACAUGCAAGUCGAGCGAACAGACGAGGAGCUUGCUCCUCUGACGUUAGCGGCGGACGGGUGAGUAACACGUGUAUAACCUACCUAUAAGACUGGGAUAACUUCGGGAAACCGGAGCUAAUACCGGAUAAUAUAUUGAACCGCAUGGUUCAAUAGUGAAAGACGGUUUUGCUGUCACUUAUAGAUGGAUCCGCGCCGCAUUAGCUAGUUGGUAAGGUAACGGCUUACCAAGGCGACGAUGCGUAGCCGACCUGAGAGGGUGAUCGGCCACACUGGAACUGAGACACGGACCAGACUCCUACGGGAGGCAGCAGUAGGGAAUCUGACGCAAUGGGCGAAAGCAUGACGGAGCAACGCGGCGUGAGUGAUGAAGGUCUUCGGAUCGUAAAACUCUGUUAUUAGGGAAAAACAAAUGUGUAAGUAACUAUGCACGUCUUGACGGUACCUAAUCAGAAAGCCACGGCUAACUACGUG
RNAcentral lists this ribosomal RNA (497 nucleotides) under uncultured bacterium. RNAcentral's name for it is "partial 16S ribosomal RNA". It matches the Rfam family "Bacterial small subunit ribosomal RNA", at positions 28 to 507 of the family's 1533-position model. The record is from RNAcentral.